GAACCAACCCUAGCCCUACCAAACCCCAAAUUCAAUUAUUAACAUCCAUAAAACAAACCAUUUGACAUAAAGAAAGUAUUAGAGAAAGAAAUCUACUUCAGGAGCUAUAGAGGAAGUACCGCAAGGGAAAGAUGAAAGAGUAAUUAAAAGUAAAAAUAAGCAAAGAUUAAACCUUGUACCUUUUGCAUAAUGAGUUAACUAGAAAACAUCUAACCAAGAGACCUUACGCUAGAUACCCCGAAACCAAACGAGCUACCUAAGAGCAGUUUUAAGGACCAACCCGUCUAUGUAGCAAAAUAGUGGGAAGACUCCUAGGUAGAGGUGAAAAGCCUAUCGAGCUUGGUGAUAGCUGGUUACCCGACAAAGAAUUUAAGUUCAACUUUAAGAUUACCUCAAGAAAUAACAAUCAAAAUGUAAUCUUAAAAUUUAAACUAAAGAGGGACAGCUCUUUAGUAAUGGAAACAACCUUUCAUAGUGAAUAAAUACACUAAUCUUAAAAAACAUUGUUGGCCUAAAAGCAGCCACCAAUAAAGAAAGCGUUAAAGCUCAACACUAUAGAUCGCUCAAUCCCAUAAGCCAUAAUGAGUUCCUAUAAAUACUAAUCGGGUUAAUCUAUAAUCAUAUAGAUGAGAUACUGUUAACAUGAGUAACAAGAACACUGUUCUCCAUGCACAAGCCUAUAACAACCCGGAUGACCAUUGUUAGUUAACAUCAACAGGCAAAGACUUCACCAAUAAGACCUGCCUAACCUAAAUGUUAAUCCAACACAGGUGUGCUACAAGGAAAGAUUAAAAGAAGUAAAAGGAACUCGGCAAACAAGAAUCCCGCCUGUUUACCAAAAACAUCGCCUCUAGCAUAAAAAGUAUUAGAGGCACUGCCUGCCCAGUGACAAGAGUUCAACGGCCGCGGUAUCCUGACCGUGCAAAGGUAGCAUAAUCACUUGUUCCUUAAUUGGGGACUGGAAUGAACGGCCUCACGAGGAUUCAACUGUCUCUUACUUCUAAUCAGUGAAAUUGACCUCCCCGUGAAGAGGCGGGGAUGAUAAAAUAAGACGAGAAGACCCUAUGGAGCUUUAAUUUACUAGUUUAACUACCCAACCACCACCCCUAAUGGAUCAAAAACAAAAGAAGUAAGCUAGUAAUUUUGGUUGGGGUGACCUCGGAGAACAAAGCAACCUCCGAAUGAUUUUAACCAAGACCUACAAGUCAAAGUAUUAGAAAUCCAAUUGACCCAAUUCAUUUGAUCAACGGACCAAGUUACCCUAGGGAUAACAGCGCAAUCCUAUUCAAGAGUCCAUAUCGACAAUUAGGGUUUACGACCUCGAUGUUGGAUCAGGACAUCCCAAUGGUGUAGCAGCUAUUAACGGUUCGUUUGUUCAACGAUUAAAGUCCUACGUGAUCUGAGUUCAGACCGGAGUAAUCCAGGUCGGUUUCUAUCUAUUAACUAUUUCUCCCAGUACGAAAGGACAAGAGAAAUGAGGCCUCCUUUAUCCAAGCGCCUUAAAACUAAUAUAUGAAAUCAUCUAAAUUUAGUAAGUUUGUUCAACAACACCCUAGACAAGGGGUU
This 1566-nucleotide ribosomal RNA is filed under the name Neodon linzhiensis. RNAcentral's name for it is "16S ribosomal RNA". It matches the Rfam family "Bacterial large subunit ribosomal RNA", at positions 251 to 2837 of the family's 2925-position model. Lineage: Eukaryota; Metazoa; Chordata; Mammalia; Rodentia; Cricetidae. The record is from RNAcentral.